CUACGGGAGGCAGCAGUAAGGAAUAUUGGUCAAUGGAGGCAACUCUGAAGCAGCCAUGCCGCGUGCAGGAAGACAGCGCUCUGGGUCGUAAACUGCUUUUAUUCGCGAAUAAACCUACUUACGUGUAAGUAGCUGAAUGUACCGAAGGAAUAAGGAUCCGCUAACUCCGUGCCAGCAGCCGCGGUAAUACGGACGAUCCAAGCGUUAUCCGGAUUUAUUGGGUAUAAAGGGUGCGUAGGCGGCUUUUUAAGUCAGGGGUGAAAGACGGUAGCUCAACUAUCGCAGUGCCCUUGAUACUGAAGAGCUUGAAUGGACUAGAGGUUGGCGGAAUGUGACAAGUAGCGGUGAAAUGCAUAGAUAUGUCACAGAACACGGAUUGCGAAGGCAG
RNAcentral lists this ribosomal RNA (388 nucleotides) under uncultured bacterium. RNAcentral describes it as "bacterial SSU rRNA". It matches the Rfam family "Bacterial small subunit ribosomal RNA", at positions 339 to 724 of the family's 1533-position model. The record is from RNAcentral.